GCUCUCGGAGCGCAGGGUCCGGGAGGCGCCGGAGCCUCGCCGACUCCAGGCGUUUCUCCUUUGGGGAGAAGCUGAAAAGCUUCCGGGAAAGGCCGCAGGUUUGCACGGCGAGGUUAAGGGAAAGAACUUGAGCCAUUGAAAGAAAGCUCCUCUCCCUUCUGAGGGAACCAGUGAAAAUCAGACCUUGCCAUAAUGGUAGGUGUUACUGGGAGGUGACCUGUGGAACGCAACAGGGUAACAUUGGUGUCUCUACUCAGGAGGUGGGUGCUGCUGUGGCAUACAACGUGCUCCUUAAGUGGAUUCUUUUGUAGCCAAGCCAACUUCCCAGCUAAGAACAAGCCAAGCACCUGAAAACAGAGGUCUACAAUGACUAAAUCAUGGUCUGAAGUGGGCCAUUGGCGUCCUGUCUCUCACCAGGCAUAUCUGUCUUGAGAGAGACAACCCAGUUCCUGAAACUGCUUUCGAUCUAGGGGACGGAAAUCAGGUUGGGGAGGUGGGGAGGUGACUGAUGCCCAUGUAUCCUUUCCUUUUUCUCUACCACUUCUGACAAGUCUCCUCUCUCACCUUUUUCGAGACUGGUGUCAAAGAGUGCUUUAUUUGGUUGAGAUGCAUAGGUACUUAAUGAAGAUUUGAAAUGAGCUGUCUGCAACAAUUUAGUCCACAACCAUUUUCUAAUACUUCAGGUAAAAAUGUGAGUCAUUUUCACGUUUUUUUCACCUUUGUACGGAGUCCCUCACCAGGGCCUGCUAACUUACUUCUCUUUCAUAUCCCCUGGAUUUGAUUCUGCUAUUUUAUUUCCUUGGUCAUCACCCUAGGAUUUGUUGCACCUGAAAUUUUCCAACUAAGUUACAAAAAGUAAGUCCAGAAAUUGUUGAUAUUCAACUGCUCAGAGCCCUGUGAAAAACACUCCCAGGCACUAGCAGAAAGUAGCAGCGUUAAUUAGCAUCAGCAUUUAUAUUAGUUUGCAGGGCAACGGAGAACCCAGAGACUUCUUUCAGUGUGCAUGCUGCACAGUCUCCCACUUGUCUCCCAAGCCCUCAUGCAUGACAGCCCAAGCACCCAGAAGUAAAAGUAAGGAUUCCUAAGGAAUGGUCAAAGGAAAUAUUUAGAGCAAUAAAGAGAAAGAGGAGAUGGGUAUUGGAAGUAACCAUGGGGAAUUUCAGUGCACACAUGCUUUCUUAGUUUUGUACAUUUCCCUCAGGGGAAAUGCUUUGUGUGCUUACAAAUGGACAGCCCCUUUCUGCUGCUUGCUAGGUGUUUGAAUAGCUCUAGCUGUGUGCAUUAUUCAGGUGAUGGCCAAUGUGGCAGUCACGAGAACAUGCCUUUGCAGACCUCUUUUUACAAGGAACAAAAUUCACCAAAGACCCUAGCUGCUGCACUCUGAAAUUUAUCACGGUGCUUAGGUACAGUAUACCUCCCACAGGGUGCUCCCCACCAAUGAAUGGAUGCAGCAGGAUACUAAGGCAGUUGUCCUGGGAGACAUCUCUUCUAUAGGCUGACUUUGGCUCAAGGACUCCCUGACCAGCUUUGCCAAACCUUCCUUAAGGUGCACAACAUUCCAGGAUGCUUAUCCCAACCUUCUCUCCCUCUUACUUCACUCAGGAUUAGAUGCCUCUCCCAGCCAUUCUGGCUCUCUAUUUCCUUUCAAAUAGGUGUUUCCUCAAAUAAAAUCCUUACAUGUUAAUCUGCUCUUGGUGUGUGCUUUUUGGAGGACCCAGACUAGUGCUAAAUUCAGCUCUUAGAUGCAGUAAGUCUUUAAAUGUAAAAGGGAUAAGUCUUGAUUUAUCCACGAUACGAGAUUUUAACUAGGAAUGAGAAAACAAAAAUUUACUUAUGGUUAUGUUGAGGCCUGCUGAAUUAUAUAUUGAGAGUUGAUAUGUACUUAAUGCAUUUGACUUUUAUAAUCUUUGCUAAAGCUUUUCUACAGAAUGAGGUUUGGUUUUUUUUAAUGUUUGUUUAUUUUUGAGUGAGAGAAAGAGCGUGUGCUUGAGCAGGGGAGGGGCAGACAGAGAGGGGGACAGAGGAUCUGAAGUGGACUUCGUGCUGACAGCAGAGAGCCCAUUGUGGGACUUGAACCCACAAAAUGCAAGAUCAUGACCCGAGCCGAAAUCGGAUGUUUCACCUACUGAGCCACCCAGGCUCCCCCCAGGAUGAGAAGGUUUUAAAUACAACUUUCACUUUGUUCUUUCUCAGAUCUUUCUUAAGAAUUCUGAUUUCUGUCUGUAGGUUUGCAAUACAAAAAGAGAUUCUCUUUUUUCAAAAAGAGAACUCAUCUCAACUCAUCUUCUUGAGUUUUGAGAAGGAUUUCAGAAUAAAAACCUCAUGUGCAUUCUCCCUGCUCUCAUCUGAGUAGACCAGAUCUCUUUUAGGUUGUGUCAAAUCUGGAUUGUUUUCUUUUCUUUCUUUCUUUCUUUCUUUCUUUUUUUUUUUUUUAAUAUCUGGCACUUUAUUCAUCCCCAAAGGACUGAGUCAUGUUUAAUAUCUUUGGUGACUAGAUCACAAGGGCUUUUUAUUUGUAGGGAGUGCUUUGUGGUAGAUAAUUUUUUCAGAUUAUUGGCACAGAAGAAAUAAUGUAAGUACAUUCUGAAUGUAAAAAUGCAUCCACACAUUUCAUUAUUCUCAAUUUGUUUUUUCAUCUUUUGAUAGCCAGAAGGUAGUAUAGGUGGCCAAGGACAAUAGUAUCAAUAUGAAAGCAUGAAAUUCAUUUAUUUAGCUAUGUUUAAAUCAGAAAUCAAAUGUUUCUGGCUUAGUGUUUGUUACUCCUAAUAUUCUUUCUAACUUUGUAUUUGAGAAUUAUAUGGUUGUACUUAAGUGAUGCAAAAAUUCUGUACAUUACCCCUUGGCCACAGAGGUUAGGUUAGUACUUGAGAAAAGCCAGGGCAAUCAAAAUGUUGCCUGCAUUUUUCAGACUGUCACUGGGUGAAAAAUGUUCUUACCUCCUGAACAUCACAGCUAGAAGAGUGUGGUAUAGGGCUGCCUACACUCAAGUGGUCCCUGCCUCCCCACCCCACCCCCCCCGCGUAGACAAAUAUGUGUGCAUCAGAGAGAGUAAAGAAGAACAUUCUGUUGAGAGUCCAGUUGUUCUUUCUCGGGUAUUUCUUAAGAAUUCUGAUUUCUGUCUGUAGGUUUGCAAUACAAAAAGAGAUUCUCUUUUUUCAAAAAGAGAACGCAUCUCAUCUCAACUCAUUAACUCAUAACUCAACUCAUUAACAUGUAAGGAUUUUAUUCGAGGAAACACCUAUUUGAAAGGGAAUAGCCAGAAUGGCUGGGAGAGGCAUGCGUCUAAUCCUGAGCGAAGUAAGAGGGAGAGAAGGUUGGGAGAAGCAUCCUGGAAUGCAGUGCCCAGGUCUUUUGAGGUUCUGAGGUCUAUUAAGAAGACAGAUGAACCAGUCCUUUCAUCUAUACCCUAUCUUGGCCUCUGAAACUUCCCUUGUAUGAUUGGUCAUGAAUGCAAUCUCUUUCCUUAGAACUCCAUGAGUAAACAUCAUCUAACAUCGUUUAAAAACUUGCCCUCAAGUUCUUUGACAUUUUUCCCCACUAGAAAUGGAGUCUUUGUCUCCUCCUUUAAAAUCUGGGCUGGUCUUGGUGACCUGUUUGUAAUCAGUAAAACGAAGCAGAAGCGAUGCUGUGUGACGUUGGAGGCGGGGCAACGGUUUUCUGGAGUGCUUUCUGCCUGGUUUUCUCAGAAUGCUUUCUGUGCCAUCAGGUGAGAAGCUCCCCUCUCCUACUGGGCUGAAUGUCGCCGCUCUGGUAGACAGUCUUGGCUGAGCUCCCAGUUGACAGGCAAUGUCAACUGCUGCUAGCCUUGUGAAUGCUUCAUCUUAGACAACCAUGGCCCCAUUGAGCUCUUGGAUGACAGCGGCACAACCAUCUGAUUACAACCACACAGCAACCUUCAGACGAGAACUACCCAGCUAAACCCUUCCCCAAUUCCCGACGUGUAAAAUCGAGAGCAAAAUAAAAUGGCCACAGUAAGCCACUGAGGUCAUUUGUUACAUAGCAUUAGGUCAUUUUGUUACAUAGCAAUAGUAACAAGAGCAUAGGUUUGCUUGGGUAAUUUAUUCUAAUCACAAAGAAAUGUAGCAGUACACUUUCCAGGGGUGGAAUAGAUGGAAUUUAAAUUGUUUUGCAUUUUUAAAAACCUUUCUUCUGAUAGGUUCCUUGUAGAACUCUUAAGCAGAUACAAGGACACAGUCUAGAUUCAAAUAUCUGACUCUGGUUCCAAAAUUUGAUAUGGGAAAUAUAGAUCAGAUCUUAUUAAAUCAACCUUAUAGGAACUGUAUGGAUAUUUUAUAAUACUGAAAAUCUGUUUUGGUGUUUUUUAUUUUAUUUUAUUUUACAAAACUGGCCUUGAAAAUUUUGUUUCAUUAAACUUGACUUUCACUUAUUCUUUCUAUCUGAAGUUGGAUCAAAGGGGGGAAAAAGAAGGGGGAGAUGAUGAUAAAAAAUGAGGGCAGAACCUUCUUUCUAUCAGUGACUACGAGAACACUGUUUUCUCCGAGAGACAGUUAAAGGGAAGUUAUCAGUGGGGGUGCUGGAACUCCCAUUCUCUCCCAGCAGUCAUGAGGAGCGUCUCAGCUUGGAAGUCAAGAAGGCCAAGUGCAAACCUGCACUUUCACCCCCACCUGGCAGUAAUGAGGCAGCACUCCCUUCCCUGGCUGGAGUGGGGUCAGAAAAAGCCAUACAGGGUUUAAGUAAGAUCCAGAGUCUCAUAACAUAUUAUCUAAAAUGUCCUGAUUCCAUUAAAAAAUCAUUGUCCUAUCAAGAACCAGGCAGAGCCCAAAUAGAAUGAAAAAAUACACUCAACAGAUGCCAACACUGAAAUGGCAGAGAUAUUAGAGUUACCUGACAGAGAUUAUGAAGCAUUCAUCAUAAAAAUGUUUCAACUAGCAACUAUGAAUACACUUGAAACAAGUGAAAAAACAAAGUCUCAGCAAAGAAAAAGAAGAAGCAAUUAGAAAUUUUGAGAAAUAAAAAAUAUAGUGAAAAACUAAAAUAAAAAACUCAGUGGAUGAGCCCAGUAGCAGCAUCUAGGAGACAGAGGAGAGAAUCCAUGACCUUGGAGACAGAACAAUAGAAAUUACUCAAUCUGAGCAAUAGAGAGAAUAGGCUGGAAAAAAAAAUGAGCAGAGCCUCAGAGACCUGUGGGUCUUCACGAAGAUCCAACAUUCAUGUUAUUGGAGACUCAAAAGACAGGUAGAAAGAAGACCGGGCUGAAAAAGUACCCAAGGAAAUAAUGGCUGGAAACUCCCGCAAUAUGGCAAAAUCCAUAAACCUACAGAUUCAAGAAACUGAGUCUACUCCAAACACAGUUAACCUAGAGAAACAGCACCAUUUGCAUUAUAGUCAAGCUUCUGAAAACUAAAGAAGUAUUGAAAGCAGGGAGAAGCACCUUAACUAUAGGGGGAAACAAUUUGAAUGACUGCAAAUGUCUCAUCAGAAACCAAAGAGGCCAGAGGGAAAUGGCAAAACAUUUUUCACGUGCUAAAAGAAUUGUUAAUCCAGAAUCCUAUACCCAGGGGAAAUAUUCCUCAUGAGUGAAGGAGAAAUCAAAGCAUUCCCAGGUGAAGGAACACAGAGGCAAUCUGUUGGUGGAAAAUUACCAUAAGAAAAUGACUAAAUGAGAUUCUCCAAGGAAAAAGGAAACAAUUAAAGAAAUCUUGGAACAUCAGAAAAAAAGAACGUGGUAAGCAAAAAUAUGGAUAAAUACAACUGGCUUCCCUUCUCAUACUGAGUUUUCUAAAGUACAUUUGGUUGUUGAAAAAAAGAU
Molecule: long non-coding RNA, 5770 nt
Organism: Leopardus geoffroyi (Geoffroy's cat)
Lineage: Eukaryota; Metazoa; Chordata; Mammalia; Carnivora; Felidae
Exons: 3
Source: RefSeq, a predicted model, not a curated record